GAUGAACGCUGGCGGCGUGCUUAACACAUGCAAGUCGAACGGAAAGGCCCAAGCUUUCUUGGUUACUCGAUUGGCGAACGGGUGAGUAACACGUGGGUGAUCUGCCCUGCACUUCGUGAUAAGCCUGGGAAACUGGGUCUAAUAUCGGAUAUGACCACAUUUUGCAUGGUGCGGUGGAAAGAUAUUCGGUGUGGGAUGAGCUCGAGGCCUAUCCGCCUGUUGGUGAGGUAAUGGCAUACGAAGGCGUAGACGGGUACCCGGCAUGGGAGGGGGUACGGCGACAUGGGGACUGAGAGACGGCCCAGACUGCUAUGGGAGGCAGUGGUGGGGAAUAUGACACAAUGGGCGCAAGCCUGAUGAAGCGACGCCGCGUGCGGGAUGACGGCCUUCGGGUUGUAAACUACUUUCGCUAGAGACGAAGCGCAAGUGACGGUACCUGGAGAAGAAGCACCGGCUAACUACGUG
RNAcentral lists this ribosomal RNA (465 nucleotides) under uncultured bacterium. RNAcentral's name for it is "partial 16S ribosomal RNA". It matches the Rfam family "Bacterial small subunit ribosomal RNA", at positions 28 to 507 of the family's 1533-position model. The record is from RNAcentral.